GGACCCGUUGCAUAGCCAGGAUAGUGCGGGUGGCUUCGGACCACCAGGUCGAGGGUUCGAAUCCCUCCGGGCCCU
Molecule: non-coding RNA, 75 nt
Organism: Thaumarchaeota archaeon 13_1_20CM_2_39_20
Lineage: Archaea; Thermoproteati; Nitrososphaerota
Source: Rfam